UUCGUAGGCGGUCUGUUUAGUCAGAGGUGAAAUCUAACGGCUCAACCGUUAACCUGCCUUUGAAACUGGCAGACUUGAGUAUUGGAGAGGAAAGCGGAAUUCUUGGUGUAGCGGUGAAAUGCGUGGAUAUCAAGAGGAACACCCGUGGCGAAGGCGGCUUUCUGGCCAAAUACUGACGCUGAGGAACGAAAGCUAGGGGAGCAAACAGGAUUAGAUACCCUGGUAGUCC
Molecule: ribosomal RNA, 229 nt
Filed under: uncultured bacterium
Lineage: Bacteria
Description: partial 16S ribosomal RNA
Rfam family: Bacterial small subunit ribosomal RNA
Source: RNAcentral